CAGGGUUUGAUCCUGGCUCAGAUUGAACGCUGGCGGCAGGCCUAACACAUGCAAGUCGAGCGGAUGAAGGGAGCUUGCUCCUGGAUUCAGCGGCGGACGGGUGAGUAAUGCCUAGGAAUCUGCCUGGUAGUGGGGGAUAACGUCCGGAAACGGGCGCUAAUACCGCAUACGUCCUGAGGGAGAAAGUGGGGGAUCUUCGGACCUCACGCUAUCAGAUGAGCCUAGGUCGGAUUAGCUAGUUGGUGGGGUAAAGGCCUACCAAGGCGACGAUCCGUAACUGGUCUGAGAGGAUGAUCAGUCACACUGGAACUGAGACACGGUCCAGACUCCUACGGGAGGCAGCAGUGGGGAAUAUUGGACAAUGGGCGAAAGCCUGAUCCAGCCAU
RNAcentral lists this ribosomal RNA (386 nucleotides) under uncultured bacterium. Its description in RNAcentral is "bacterial SSU rRNA". It matches the Rfam family "Bacterial small subunit ribosomal RNA", at positions 8 to 395 of the family's 1533-position model. The record is from RNAcentral.